Lepisosteus oculatus (spotted gar) is the source of this 2129-nucleotide long non-coding RNA. The record is from Ensembl. NCBI's taxonomy places the organism in Eukaryota, Metazoa, Chordata, Actinopteri, Semionotiformes, Lepisosteidae.
UGUGUGCCUGCCCAGCGACGGACUGGCGUCCCGUCCCGGGUGUACCCUCUCUUUGCGAUAUUUGCUCGCUGGGAGAGACUCCAGCUCCCCCCCGUGUACCGUGUCCCGUGUCCUGGAGAAGACCGUUGGAAAUGUGCUGGUCGGAAAGCAGACACUUCAACUCUGUCGCGGAAAACACCGCGCUGUAAAAUCACGCAGGGGGUUAUAAUGGUUCGUUACUGACGCUUGAACGGAGUAGAGAGACUGUCGGCGACGAAAGACCCCGAUUCUUAGUUUGGAGUUAAAUUCUGUGUCUGUCCUACAGAGCACUGCUUUAAUAAGUACUGUUUUUUUUUUUUUGGAGAGCAAAAAAACUCAGUCUUCUGAUUUGAAAACAAAAGGAUCUCUCGGAUAAAUUUCAUGCAUUUCGCAGAUAUUUGUUUUAAUUCCAUUUGGGGUCUUAAAGUCUGGCUUUCACGCCACAUAACGGCGUUUUUUUUCCCUUCCUUCUCCACCUCAGAGAGUACAUACCCGCGGAUUUCAAUAUCAGGGCUCAGCCGUGCUUGGGGGGGGCAUUUCGAUGUUUUUAAGGCUGUAAGCGAAGGACCCGACCGAGGAGCCGGACUCUGCGGUCGGACCGGGGUUGUGUUCGGACCCCCGGUUGCUAGGAGACGAACCCCUGCGCGAGAGGUCCGGAGCCGCCAGAGGUCCUGUCCCCGGAACCGGGUUGAAGAGCCCAAUAUGCGUACAGAGGCUUUUAGAACGGCGCUGCCCUCGCACAGCUGCCAGGAGCUCCUCGCGGUCCGCCCGGGCGCCGCCCAGUGCAACGCGAAGCCCCCCCGGGAUGAUGACUCCCGCCUCUCCGCCCUGCCUGACUCGCUGCUGCGCUCCGUCGGCCUGCGGAUUGAGAAUGUCACUCGUCUUCCCAGGUGGGAGAUCUGGGGGGGCUCAGCGAGGUUGGACCUGGCCAGUCAGUGUGCUGGCGUGCCAGUUAAUCAGUGUGUCUGUGUGCCAGUUAAUCAAUCAGUGUGCCAGUCAGUCAAUCAGUGUGCCAGUCAGUCAGUGCACUAGUCAGUCAGUCAAUCUGUCCAAAGUGCUGUCUCUCACAGGGAUACAUCAGUAAAGGCUGACUCACCCCUCACCCUGUCUUGCCGCUCUGUUACAGGUUCGGGUGUCGAACCCGGGGCCUUCCCACUGUGCUUUGUCCUCCAGGGCUGCACAGCUGUGACGCUGGCUGUGAUCAGCUCCUGCUGCACCUACUGCCUCUCCCACUGAUCAGGUCAGAGCACCUCUCGAUCAGACCGGAGUACUGUGCCCACGUUCUGAAAUAGAUAUUGUUCUUCAUUCUUAAAGGAAAGAACUAUACAGUACUGCCAGGCUGGAGAUACUGAGUCUUUUUAGUCUGAAGGGAGUGUCUCACACUGACAGGCUAGAGAAACCGAGUAUCUUUAGUAUGAAGGGAGUGUCCCACACUGACAGGCUGGAGGAACUGAGUCUCUUUAGUCUGAAUGUGAUCCACCGAUCGGGACAGGAGAGCCUUCCCUUCCUCCACCUCCUGUCCCUGUAGGACAUUCUCCGGAGCUCAGUCAGUACACUAAAAGCAGGCUUCUCAUCAUGAUGCUUCUUCAUUUCUGUCCCUCCAUCCGUCUUUGUGGUCUGGACACCGAAGAGCCGCAGGAAACCGGUGGAGCACAAGGGACGGGAACAGUCUCGACGAUGACCCCGUAACCACACGCAAAUAAAACAACUGCCGAUAUUUGGCCUGGUCAGACCAGCAGUGAAAUCCAAGACGUACUGUAGGAGUCUGUAAGACAGCUUCACUCAAGAUACACUUCCUCACAGUAUACAGACACACUAAAGACCAGAGAUUCAACACACACACACACACAUACACACACACACUGAGACUCAGCUUGAGUGAGGCUGGAGUCAGAUGAGCUGUUAAUAAACUUGCUUUCAUUUCAAAACACCUUCUUAUGAACCAGGACACAUACUAAACUCACAUUAUGCACACCUGGUAAUCUAACAGUUUACACGGAACUAAGACCCGAGAUUAUACACACACAGAUACAAAGGAUAACUAACUGUUAUUCUACACAGAGCUUGUCUUCUUUGUCAGUAUGCAGACAGAACAAGACAGCAGAUUCCAC